Long non-coding RNA from Notothenia coriiceps (black rockcod), 225 nucleotides. RefSeq lists it as uncharacterized. The record is from RefSeq and is a predicted model, not a curated record. NCBI's taxonomy places the organism in Eukaryota, Metazoa, Chordata, Actinopteri, Perciformes, Nototheniidae. The transcript is spliced from 4 exons.
AGAUGAUAUGAACUGGAAUGCGUUGGAGUGGGACCGGGCGGCGGAGGAGCUCACCUGGGAGAGGAUGCUUGGCCUGGAUGGCUCACUGGUGUUUCUGGAGCAUGUUUUUUGGGUGGUUUCUCUGAACACACUCUUCAUCCUGGUCUUCGCGUUUUGUCCUUACCACAUCGGGCACUUUUCUGUCGUGGGUCUCGGCUUCGAGGAACAUGUAAGAAACUGCUCUCA